UACGAACUGUGCAAACGUUAUUCGGAAUCACUGGGCUUAAAGGGUGCGUAGGCGGCUUAUCAAGUAGGGUGUGAAAGCCCCCGGCUUAACCGGGGAAUUGCGCCCUAAACUGACGAGCUGGAGUGGGACAGGGGUGUGUGGAACUUCCGGUGGAGCGGUGAAAUGUGUUGAUAUCGGAAGGAACGCCGGUGGCGAAAGCGACACACUGGGUCUCAACUGACGCUGAAGCACGAAAGCCAGGGGAGCGAACGGG
Molecule: ribosomal RNA, 253 nt
Filed under: uncultured bacterium
Lineage: Bacteria
Description: partial 16S ribosomal RNA
Rfam family: Bacterial small subunit ribosomal RNA
Source: RNAcentral